This 309-nucleotide long non-coding RNA is filed under the name Arabidopsis lyrata. Its description in RNAcentral is "long non-coding RNA (ALYR_LNC002805)". Lineage: Eukaryota; Viridiplantae; Streptophyta; Magnoliopsida; Brassicales; Brassicaceae. The record is from RNAcentral.
UCCGAUAACAAUAGAAUUCCGAGCUACGAUUGUCCUGCUUGAGAUCCAUUGAUACUCAAGAUUACUUUCGUAAUCUAUCCCUAGAAGCUUCCGCUACGUCAGUUGGUAUCAGAGCCGAAUCGGUUCUUUGUUUAUCAUGUCGCUUGGGUGUCUCUAUCACACGGAUGAAUAUCCGUUUACUUUUACAGAAGACUUGUAUGAAGAGUACAAGGAAAUUAUUGGUGAUCCAAUUUUCGACGUAUACAAUGAUGAAGAUCUAAUUCACGAAGAUAAAGAUCUAACUCAUGAUGUAUACGAUGCAUAUAUUGA